This is a ribosomal RNA of Kwoniella mangroviensis CBS 10435, 120 nucleotides long. NCBI's taxonomy places the organism in Eukaryota, Fungi, Basidiomycota, Tremellomycetes, Tremellales, Cryptococcaceae. The record is from Rfam.
AUCUACGGCCACAGAACCUAUAAAACGCCCCAUCCCGUCCGCUCUGGGCAGCUUAAGUUGGGUAUCGCUCGGUUAGUACCAAGGUGGGGGACCACUUGGGAAUCCCGGGUGCUGUAGUUU